UCCGUAACCAACAAGGAGUUUUUUAUGGCAACACUGUCUACUUUGCUCCGCCUAUCGGUCAUUGAAAAGAGGUUAUAUAACGACUUUACCGUAAUAGUAAAGACCAUUUUGAUCCCGAUUGCCGUGCUUGUGAGUAUGCUCGUAGAAUUUUAAGAUAUCUUCAGAUUGCCUUAUUUUCUUAAAUGUACAGUUGUGUGUUAUUUCUUUUGAUUUUAAUUGUUUGUGAAUUCGAAAUCAACGUGCUAUAGAAAUUAUGAAUAACGUGUGUUUAUUUAUUUUUGUGUUACUUGCAGUUAUUUAAAUUCUCGUCUUCUCAGAAACGUAGAAUGUAUUGUAUUGUUUUCUCUACGUAUAGUAGAAAAACAAGCUAUGGACCUCUUUUGUUUAAAAUGUUAAUUAUAGAAGUUGCAAAUUUGUGAGUAAAUUGCAAUAACUAUGAAUAAAUAUGGAAAUCAGAAACAAUUGUAGAAAUCUUAUUUGAUUAUUUUGAUAAGCAUGAUGCUUGUAGAUAUUCAGUUAGUAUUUGGAAAGCAUGUGGUACUGACUUGAAUUUUUGACCAUGAUGCUGGAUCUUAUGGAGAUUGGAUUUUAAUGGUAAGUUUGUUAAGAACUAAGAUUUUUAGAGUGAUUUAAUUUCUUUUUUGUAGGGUUUAGGUUGAAGUUGAACAUGGAGUUGCAUGUAUGGCCUGCCAACUCAUUUGUUCUGGCACGGUGGUUAAUUGCUUCACUGUCGAGAUCCUUGUCCAUUUGUUCUUUGGACAUCUUCCUCAGUUAGGUAAGAACUAGUGAUCUACUUAUUGUGACAACUUACUUUUCAGUCUUAAACCAUUGCUAACUUCAUUGCAUGAGCAAUCUUGUUUGCAUGGUUUCAAAUUUGGUGCUGCAUCUUCUGUUGGUUAUGGUAAUCAGGUUAUCAUUUAAUGGAUCAUGGUUUUCUGUCAUUUGUUGGAUAGUAACAGAAUUGUUCUUAAAGCUGUAAAUUUUUUAAAUAACAUAAAACCAGGAAUUUUAUUUACACAUGUUUUCUCCUAGACUAACUUUAUGUGUUGUGGAAUGAUUUGUGAAUUAAAUUUUGGUUUGUUCAAUUUAGUUAUUCGAAGUUCUAGUGAUGUCGCUGUUGGUCUUCGUGUACUGGUGGGUUUGAAAGACUGAGGUGUGGAUGUGGUUUUGUAGUCAACGAGAAGCAUAUUUGGGUUCAAGAGAUGCCCAAUUCUUCAUCCGGAUUAAUCAAACGCCAAAAAGUAGACCUCAUCGUUCGGGGGUUUUUUUAUUAGUUGGUUCCGGUAUUAGUACGGUAUUACUAAUGAUCAGAAUGAUCAGAUGUGAUUUUGGUGGAUAGGGGAAGUAUGCUGAUGGAGCUUGGUGCCAAAGAAGAUAGUUAGAUGAGUCGGCAUCCGAAAUUUUCCAAUUAAAUUUUAUUGUGAUAUUUUAUUUUUAUUAAAAAAAAAGCUUAGUAAUGUAAUUUGUUUGAAUUUGUUGUAAUUUGUUAACUGUGGCUCUGUUUCAUUGACUUUUGUUAAAAUUGUGUUGGUGUGAAUUGUUGAAUAAUAUGUGGACAUAAAGUUCCAUUAGGUGACGAUAAGCAUUGGUAUACAUCCCGAUGAAAAUGAAGAUGAUCUAUGUAAACUCGUCAAUGGAAACGUUAUUUUCCUGCCAUAUUCUAUUGACUAAUUGUUGCUUUUUUUUUUAAUGCAUAUUGUUUUAAAUGCUGUCAUAAAAAUGCUAUUGUAUCAAUAAAUAAAAGUAAUUAAAAUUUCA
Long non-coding RNA from Daphnia magna, 1758 nucleotides. RefSeq lists it as uncharacterized. The record is from RefSeq and is a predicted model, not a curated record. Lineage: Eukaryota; Metazoa; Arthropoda; Branchiopoda; Diplostraca; Daphniidae. The transcript has 5 exons.